UGGGGAAUAUUGCACAAUGGGCGCAAGCCUGAUGCAGCGACGCCGCGUGGGGGAUGACGGCCUUCGGGUUGUAAACUCCUUUCGCUAGGGACGAAGCUUUUUGUGACGGUACCUAGAUAAGAAGCACCGGCUAACUACGUGCCAGCAGCCGCGGUAAUACGUAGGGUGCGAGCGUUGUCCGGAAUUACUGGGCGUAAAGGGCUCGUAGGUGGUUUGUCGCGUCGUCUGUGAAGUUCCGGGGCUUAACUCCGGGCGUGCAGGCGAUACGGGCAUAACUUGAGUACUGUAGGGGUAACUGGAAUUCCUGGUGUAGCGGUGAAAUGCGCAGAUAUCAGGAGGAACACCGAUGGCGAAGGCAGGUUACUGGGCAGUUACUGACGCUGAGGAGCGAAAGCAUGGGUAGCGAACAGG
Molecule: ribosomal RNA, 411 nt
Filed under: Actinomycetes bacterium
Lineage: Bacteria; Bacillati; Actinomycetota; Actinomycetes
Description: Actinobacteria bacterium partial 16S ribosomal RNA
Rfam family: Bacterial small subunit ribosomal RNA
Source: RNAcentral